UCAAAAGGUCAUCAAAAAAGGAAAACCAACACGGUAGCCGACUCUCUCUACCGAGGCCCCGACAUUAUUGAUAGUAAUUGAAAUUCACAUCUCUCGUUGCUCUCCAUCUCUCCGAAACGCCAACAAAGACUAAACCAAAAAAGAAAAAAAAAACCUAACCCUAGAUUUUGAGCACCACGACCUCAAUGGCCAGCGAAUCCCAUGACUCGCGUCGCAAGCACCGUCGUUCUUCUUCAGACGAUGACGAAGCCGAGAAGUCAUCGAAGCGCCACAAGCAUCGUCACCACCACCACCGUCACCGCCACCGUAGCAAGAAACACGACGAGGAAUCCAAACCCGAGAGUGAGGAUACCAAUCCCACUCCUCUUCCUCUUCCUACUGUGGCUAACAAUUCUCGGCUCGAGGACGAUGUGGAGGAGGGUGAGAUUCUCGAAGACGAGGGUUUCGGUGGUGGCGAGAUUGCGAAGAAGAAAUUCGAGUCCGACGAUGAGGCUGGGGAAAUCGCGGCCGUUCAUGUUCGCGAUGAAUCUGAUAAGCUAAAUCUGGGACAUUGUGCUGAGCAUCGAUCAUCUGAUCGUGAAGCUAGUCUUCACAUGGAAGAGAGUGUGGGGAACAAGGGUACAAAUUCAAAGACUUUUGGAGAUGACAAGAGUGAAGAUGAUUUAAUGAUUAAUUCCAAAUUAGAUAAGGAAGACAAAACAUACCACCAGCACCAUGAGGUUGGCUUUUUAAGAAAUACAUGUGUUGAGCCUCAAGAUGAAUCUAGAGUUAGCUCAAAGGGUCACGUCAAUGGGGAUUUGGGUCACGAGUCUAGAAAAGAGGAAAAGAAGUGGCUGAGGGAAUCUGGGUCCCCUUCUAAAGGAAUUGGUAAGCUGAAGAGUUACUAUGAUGAUGAAAAGAUUGAGGUUGAAGAAAGCAUAUUGAGCAAUCAUAGAAAGUCUUCUUCUCAUAGCACAGAGGACCGUGGCGAAGUCCAUACUAGGAGCAGAUCUAGAUCAAUUGGUGCUAGGGAGAGAUCUCGUUCCCGUAGCAUGAGAGAAGAGGAGGCUCAUUCAAAAAGAAGACGUUAUCAUGAUUCUGAUGCCUCAUUAUAUGUUGAUAAGGGCAAGUUUGAGUAUGACUCUGACUAUGAAAGAAAGGUUCGACGGAUUAGGGAUGGACGACAUGGUAGUAGAGAUUUGGUAAGAGAUGAGGAAAGGGACCGUAGUAUUAGUCAUAGUAGAUAUAUUGGAGAAGAGGAUUGGUAUCGUAAUCGGGCUGCACAUGACAGGGAGAGGAGCAUGGACAGGGAUAUGGAUAAGGACUUGAGACGGGAAAAGGAAAGGGUUAGGGAUAGUGAGAUAGACAGGGCUCAGAGAAGGGACAGGGACAGGGACAGAGGUGGGAGUAGGGACAGGGCCAGAGAUAUGGACAGGAAAAGGGAUAUGGAGCGAGAUAGGAACAAGGAAAGAGAGGUGGGCAGGGAUAGGAGAAGGGAGAAGGAAAGAGAUAAAAACUGGGAUAAAGAGGUGGAUAGAGAUGGGAAAAGGGAGAAGGAAAGUGAUAGGAGCAGGGCUAGUGAAAGAGAUAGAGAUAGGGAUAGAGAAAGGGAGAAGGAUAGGGACAAAGGGAGGGAGAAUGAGAGGGAGAGGAGAGAUGAUAGAAGUAGGAAUAAGGAUAGAGGUAUUGUAAAUGGUUGGGAGAAGUAUGAAAAUCUUGAAGAUGGCUAUGACAAUGGAAGAUAUAAACAUUCUAGGCGCUCGAGACAUGAUGAAAAAGAAUACAACCAGGAUAGAACAAGAAAAAGUGAUCCAGAAAAGGUUCCUGGUUUUAAGAGCAAUCCAUUGGAAGGAUAUAGAGACAAACAAAAAAGAGAUGAAGAUGAUCAUGGAGACUAUGAAGAAGCGACUGCAUUGCAAUUUGCUGAGCAGGAAGAGGAGGAUCUCAACAGAAUCAAGGAGGAGAGUCGAAGGCGAAGGCAAGCCAUCCUAGAAAAAUAUAAGAGUCAGCAGCCACAGCAACCAAAUGAACCACAGUCAGAAGAUGUUAAGAAAGAUAAGGAGCCUGCACAUGAUCCUGAUCAAUCAAUAGCUGCUAAUAAUGUUGUUCCAGAAGUUGGUGAUGGUCGGAAUGAUGUUGUAGAUGACUAUGUUGCUGAACCAUCAUUUUCUGUUGGGAAAUCACCCCCACAGAAUGGAGUUGCUGCUUUUGAGAAGACUUCUGGUGCUGGAGGCCUUGGCGAGGGUACUCCUAAGAGUGAGAGGUCAGAUGACAAGUUCUGUGAUGAUAUUUUUGGUGAGACCCCAACAGGAGUCCGCAAAUCUGGAAAAGGUGAUGGUUUACGAAUAGAAAGGAGUGGUCUUCAUGACAACUGGGAUGAUGCAGAAGGGUAUUAUAGCUACCGGUUUGGUGAAACACUUGAUGGGCGAUAUGAAGUUAUUGCUGCUCAUGGGAAAGGUGUCUUUUCUACUGUAGUUCGUGCAAAGAAUCUUAAGGCUGGUAAUGGUGAACCAGAGGAAGUAGCCAUAAAAAUUAUACGCAGUAAUGAUACAAUGUACAAGACUGGUUUGGAGGAGCUGGUCAUAUUAAAGAAACUAGUUGGUGCAGAUCCAGAUGACAAGCGCCAUUGUGUUCGGUUUCUUUCAAGUUUCAAGUACCGGAAUCAUCUUUGUCUAGUUUUUGAAUCUCUUCAUAUGAAUUUGCGAGAGGUUUUAAAGAAGUUUGGACGCAAUAUUGGCCUGAAGCUAACUGCUGUGAGAGCAUAUGCAAAGCAACUUUUUAUUGCACUGAAACAUCUUAGAAAUUGUGGUGUUCUUCAUUGUGAUAUAAAGCCGGAUAAUAUGCUUGUAAAUGAGGCAAAAAAUGUGCUGAAGCUUUGUGACUUUGGCAAUGCGAUGUUUGCCGGUAAAAAUGAAAUUACACCAUACCUUGUAAGCCGCUUUUAUCGUGCCCCUGAAAUAAUUCUUGGUUUGACUUAUGAUCAUCCAAUGGAUAUGUGGUCUGUGGGUUGCUGUUUGUAUGAGCUAUAUACAGGAAAGGUUCUCUUUCCAGGUCCUACAAACAAUGACAUGCUACGACUUCACAUGGAAUUGAAAGGCCCUUUCCCAAAGAAGAUGCUCCGGAAGGGAGCAUUUACUGAUCAGCAUUUUGAUCAUGACCUGAAUUUUCAUGCUACAGAAGAGGAUCCUGUCACAAAAAAGACUAUAAAGCGGAUGAUUUUUAACAUAAAGCCAAAAGAUAUUGGAUCUAUUGUUGUGGGCUCUCCUGGGGAGGAUCCAAAGAUGUUAGCCAAUUUUAAAGAUCUUCUAGAAAAAGUUUUUGUGUUGGAUCCAGACAAGAGGAUGACAGUGUCACAAGCAUUGACCCAUCCGUUCAUCACGGGCAAGUGAACCAUGUUGCUGAUUUUAUGACUCCAGAAAUGCUGUUCCGCUAGAUAUUUGUACAUUAUGAUCUAAUUCAUUUUCAGUUUCUAAUUACUGGGCAUUAUCUGUCUUCUCUGUGAUGGCCUAAGAGCUUUCAACACAGUUUUGGCAUGGUUGAAGUCAAAAGGGGGUGAUGUUUGGUCUGGAGGACUCUUUACUGGCGGGUUCUUUCAGUGGAUUGUACUGUUUCUAUCGAUGUCUGCCACUGCUUUGAGGCAACCCUCCAGUGCUUAGAUGCUUAAAAGGCACCCAGGAGAAGGUAUCUUGGUUUGUUUAUGGGUGAUUAUUGUGACAGCAUUAGAAGUCGAUAUUGUGAUUUCUCUUUCAAAUAUUGUGUUUCUGUUGUCUUUAGAAAUAGUUACUGGAUUUUAAUGGAAUUCUGUUAAAAAUUA
This is an RNA transcript of Quercus lobata, 3793 nucleotides long. It is a transcript of the gene named serine/threonine-protein kinase prp4-like, with no coding region annotated. The transcript is spliced from 13 exons. The record is from RefSeq and is a predicted model, not a curated record. Lineage: Eukaryota; Viridiplantae; Streptophyta; Magnoliopsida; Fagales; Fagaceae.